RNAcentral lists this ribosomal RNA (301 nucleotides) under uncultured bacterium. RNAcentral describes it as "partial 16S ribosomal RNA". It matches the Rfam family "Bacterial small subunit ribosomal RNA", at positions 509 to 807 of the family's 1533-position model. The record is from RNAcentral.
CAGUAGCCGCGGUAAUACGAAGGGUGCAAGCGUUAAUCGGAAUUACUGGGCGUAAGGCGUGCGUAGGCGGUUUGUUAAGUCUGUUGUGAAAUCCCCGGGCUCAACCUGGGAAUGGCAAUGGAUACUGGCAAGCUAGAGUGUGUCAGAGGAUGGUGGAAUUCCCGGUGUAGCGGUGAAAUGCGUAGAGAUCGGGAGGAACAUCAGUGGCGAAGGCGGCCAUCUGGGACAACACUGACGCUGAGGCACGAAAGCGUGGGGAGCAAACAGGAUUAGAUACCCCCGUAGUCCCUGUCUCUUAUAC